GGCCACACCAUCGCCCUGCUGGGGGACAAGAAGGGCUGGCUGCAUAAGGUAUUUCUCCAGACGGACACAACGGGGAUGUUGUAUCAGAGUGUAUUGGUGGACCAGGACAGUCCAGUCAACGCUGACCUACUACUGGACCAGUCUGGACAGAAUGUCUACGUCCUCACUGAUGGCAAGGUGUCCAAGGUGUCUGUAUCUCAGUGUGAACAGCAGCCUGACUGCCAGUCCUGUCUGUCUGUCAGAGAUCCUUACUGUGGCUGGUGUGUCCUGGAGGGAAGGUACUGUACACUGACACUCUUCC
Molecule: long non-coding RNA, 301 nt
Organism: Oncorhynchus keta (chum salmon)
Lineage: Eukaryota; Metazoa; Chordata; Actinopteri; Salmoniformes; Salmonidae
Exons: 3
Source: RefSeq, a predicted model, not a curated record